GAUGAACGCUGGCGGCGUGCCUAAUACAUGCAAGUCGAGCGAACAGACGAGGAGCUUGCUCCUCUGACGUUAGCGGCGGACGGGUGAGUCACACGUGGAUAACCUACCUAUAAGACUGGGAUAACUUCGGGAAACCGGAGCUAAUACCGGAUAAUAUAUUGAACCGCAUGGUUCAAUAGUGAAAGACGGUUUUGCUGUCACUUAUAGAUGGAUCCGCGCCGCAUUAGCUAGUUGGUAAGGUAACGGCCUACCAAGGGAACGAUGCGUAGCCGACCUGAGAGGGUGAUCGGCCACACUGGAACUGAGACACGGUCCAGACUCCUACGGGAGGCAGCAGUAGGGAAUCUUCCGCAAUGGGCGAAAACCUUACGGAGCAACGCCGCGUGAGUGAUGAAGGUCUUCGGAUCGUAAAACUCUGUUAUUAGGGAAGAACAAAUGUGUAAGUAACUAUGCACGUCUUGACGGUACCUAAUCAGAAAGCCACGGCUAACUACGUG
RNAcentral lists this ribosomal RNA (497 nucleotides) under uncultured bacterium. RNAcentral's name for it is "partial 16S ribosomal RNA". It matches the Rfam family "Bacterial small subunit ribosomal RNA", at positions 28 to 507 of the family's 1533-position model. The record is from RNAcentral.